Non-coding RNA from Petromyzon marinus (sea lamprey), 489 nucleotides. The record is from RefSeq and is a predicted model, not a curated record. Lineage: Eukaryota; Metazoa; Chordata; Hyperoartia; Petromyzontiformes; Petromyzontidae.
UACAGAUGCGACGGAUGGAGAGGUGGUGACAGCCGGCGAUGGGAACAAUUCAGCGCCAUCGGCACCGGACGCUGAAUAGGAUGACGUCGAGCGGCGCUGGGCACGGGGAAGGAAGCGAAGGCCGGGCGUGACCCCGCAUCGCUGCCCGCAACGGACACCCACUGCGUUUUCAAUUACGUGUUAGGAGAUCACGUCUCUCUGUUUUUUUUAUUAACGCUCGUUGCUACGAACCGUCUGCGAUUUGACGGUAUUUGCCACGUGCUCCCCACGAACCUUCGCCUCCCGUUGUCGCUCGCCGCGUCACAAGCGCGAGGUCGCAGGCGUUGCGGGGAGCGUUCCCCGGUAAAACGCUCGCACAGCCCCCGCGCGCCACGAUUCGAUUCGUUUGGAUCCGUCACGCGGCGGCGGCGGCGCAGGAGGAGGGUUACACGACACACAUUUGGCCAGAUCUAUGUCACGUGGGCCCCAACUCGAAAUGCCUAUCGCCUU